AGGACUACAGUGAUGUAAACGGACCCCAGCCCCGGGGAGGGAGCAGCACUUCUUCAGGACCAGGUGGUUCUGUGCCACUAGGAUGCUGGACUGUACAUUUUUCCCAAGGAAUCACAAUGUGAGGAUCUGCUGACCGCCCCUCCCCACGAGGUGCAGGCCUCGCCUGUUCUGACGCAGCCAUUUGCUGGAAUUAAAUACCGUGUUGACUACCAUUCGAGGCACCCACUAUAUUCCAGAUUCCAGAAGCUCUCUGAGACCCACCCCACCUGGCCCCGCUACCCACUCACCUACGAGGUUGAUGGGCAGGUCAAGCUUGGCAGCAGACACGAUGGCGGAACAAAUGGUGGCAGCUCC
This is a non-coding RNA of Vicugna pacos (alpaca), 354 nucleotides long. The record is from RefSeq and is a predicted model, not a curated record. Lineage: Eukaryota; Metazoa; Chordata; Mammalia; Artiodactyla; Camelidae.